RNAcentral lists this long non-coding RNA (513 nucleotides) under Capra hircus (goat). Its description in RNAcentral is "lncRNA (ENSCHIG00010030873.1)". Lineage: Eukaryota; Metazoa; Chordata; Mammalia; Artiodactyla; Bovidae. The record is from RNAcentral.
CACAUGGCAAUUCAAUGUAAAAACCAAUCAUAAUAAACAACCAUUUAAUCCAGAGAUAUAAACCUCCGCGAACCAGCCAAUUUCACCAGUGACGAUUGGAGUCAUCAGUCUGCUUUUUGAACAUCGCAAUCAUCUAGCAGAAUUCUAAGCGAGAAUUAUUUAUUGGGCAACAUCAAUGUUCAUACAGUUAACUGGGGAGUAUACCUCUGUUCCCAGUGGCUAACCUUGAUUAAGGGCAUUCUGAACCCUUUAGAAAUGAUCAUUUCUUUCACCAUCUCCUAGAAUCCUCUGCCUGCCCCUUCCUGCCAAGGCCUGAGUGCUGAGAAGGCUGUCUCCAUUUCUCCUCGCCUCCAUUCAGUAAGCGGUGGCUCAUCCCCUAAUGCAAUAAGGCCAUCUGAUGCUUGCAACUGGCUCUCUUCAUUUCAGCCUGGACCACAAAAUCUAAAGAAUAGGAGUGAUCACCAAGCCCCCUUGUCACCUCCUUUCCGGGAGACUGAAGCUGAUGGCAGAUGA